GGAGAGGUGCCAGAGUGGUCGAAUGGGCUCGCCUGGAAAGCGAGUGUACCGGUAACGGUACCAAGAGUUCGAAUCUCUUCUUCUCCG
Molecule: transfer RNA, 87 nt
Filed under: Pseudomonadota bacterium
Lineage: Bacteria; Pseudomonadati; Pseudomonadota
Also listed under: 1 other name
Description: tRNA-Ser
Rfam family: tRNA
About the family: Transfer RNA (tRNA) molecules are approximately 80 nucleotides in length. Their secondary structure includes four short double-helical elements and three loops (D, anti-codon, and T loops). Further hydrogen bonds mediate the characteristic L-shaped molecular structure. tRNAs have two regions of fundamental functional importance: the anti-codon, which is responsible for specific mRNA codon recognition, and the 3' end, to which the tRNAs corresponding amino acid is attached (by aminoacyl-tRNA synthetases). tRNAs cope with the degeneracy of the genetic code in two manners: having more than one tRNA (with a specific anti-codon) for a particular amino acid; and 'wobble' base-pairing, i.e. permitting non-standard base-pairing at the 3rd anti-codon position.
Source: RNAcentral